RNAcentral lists this non-coding RNA (35 nucleotides) under Mycobacterium tuberculosis. Lineage: Bacteria; Bacillati; Actinomycetota; Actinomycetes; Mycobacteriales; Mycobacteriaceae. The record is from RNAcentral.
GCCCCGUGGAUGGCGGAUGCGUUGUGCGCGCAAGU